Molecule: ribosomal RNA, 253 nt
Filed under: uncultured bacterium
Lineage: Bacteria
Description: partial 16S ribosomal RNA
Rfam family: Bacterial small subunit ribosomal RNA
Source: RNAcentral
UACGUAGGGUGCAAGCGUUAAUCGGAAUUACUGGGCGUAAAGCGUGCGCAGGCGGUGAUGUAAGACAGGUGUGAAAUCCCCGGGCUUAACCUGGGAACUGCAUUUGAAACUACGAGGCUAGAGUGUGUCAGAGGGGGGUAGAAUUCCACGUGUAGCAGUGAAAUGCGUAGAGAUGUGGAGGAAUACCGAUGGCGAAGGCAGCCCCCUGGGAUAACACUGACGCUCAUGCACGAAAGCGUGGGGAGCAAACAGG